AGAGAGAGAAAACUUUAGGAGGAUGUAGGUUGACUUUAAUAAGAAAGAGAAAAAAUUAGAGAGGUGCAGAAUGACUUUAUGAAAAAAGAGAAAAUAUUAAAAUAAUAUUGAUUAAGGUUAAAAUGGUAAUAUUUGGAGGUGCCCGAUGAGAGCUUGGAGGUGUAGGAUGAAACACCCCAGUUUUUAUUUGUAUUUGGCCCAAUGUCCGAUUUACAUCUAUUUAAAGAUUAUCAAAAUUUAAUGAAAAUAACCUAGAAUGGAUUGAAGUGUAAAAUUUUUUUGUGUGGAUCACUGUUUUUUAACACUUUUUCCUUAAUAAACCCAACAAUAUGUAGUGUGACUGUUAUUAGUAAGUUAACAAAAGUUUUACUUAGUGUUUUUAUCAACAAAUGUAUUUGUCGAUAAAUAACAAAAAUAAAAAAUAGCUGUAUUAAAAUUGCGAGACUAAAUUUUAUAACUGUAAUUAUUAUUUUUAGUAAAGGAAUACUUUAAUAUAAUUGGACGAGAGAUUAUUAACAAUCUGUUUACCCAAAUAUAAAUCCUUUCAUUUACAAAAUUCAUUAGCUUCAGUCUACAAGCACGAAGUAAAAAUAUAAUAGUUUCUUACAUGAAAAUUUGUUACAUAUAUUUAUCCUAAUUAUCAAUUGAUUUUUUUUUUCAGUGGUACCAUUUUAAAAAAGAAAAAUAAUAGAAACUAUUUAUCAAAAUCAUAGCCAAAAAUACCAUAAUAAAAUAAUAGAAUGGAGCAUAAACAUAAAGAUAUUCUAAACGCAACAAGAGUAGUAAGAUUUCAAGAAAACUUUCCCUUUUAUAUUUGGGGUGAAUGCAUUAUAAAUGCAGACUACUUGAUUAAUUUGACACCAUCCUUCAUUCUUGAUAGGAAAACUCCAUAUGGGUUGAUCCAUCGCAAACUUCUACCUAUGAUCACUUGAUAGUCACUUUCAUAUGCUCAUAAUCAACAUUAAAAAAAAAUAGAUAAAUUCAAUAGUAAAAGUCAUAAAUGCAUUUUUGUUGUUGGCUAUUCAGAAAAAAAAAAUGGUGUUUGACUUAGAAAAAUAUGCUUUUUUUUCUUCUUGAUUUUAAUUGAUUAUCUCAUCAGUAUAGUCUAUACUUUCUCUGUGAAGUACAUUUCUUUGAGAAUUAAGGAUGUCAUCAAAAUUAUAGUUGUUUAAAGUAAACUUAGAAAGGGUUUUCAUCAAAUACUUAAAUCUUUCUAUCUAUUUUGGAUAAUUCUCAUAAUUAGGUGCACUUUUCUUACAAUCACAUACAAGGUUUUUGUGGGCAUUUUUUAGAGUUAUAAAGUUAGUUUUUAGAUUUUUAUUUAUAUUUGACCUAUAAGCACUGGACGUAAUAACCCUUUUUUAUAUCUGACACUUACAAGUUAAAUAUAAAUUUUGAUCAUUUAAUUACAAAAAUACCACCACACUUUUUUAACUUAUAUGUCACAUGUAAAUUCAGUGACAUAAUAAGUUAUUUUUGUGUUAGUAUAAUUAUAUUUAUAAUGUAUAUAACCAUUGCUAUUAUACAAUUUAUAAUAUCUUAUCAUCAUCAUAAAUGUGUUUUAAUAUUUGAUUGAUAGAUUAAAAGAUUAUUAUAAAAGUUUGUUAUAUAUAAUAUAUAUAAAAUCUAUUGUUUUAAAGAUUGAAAGGUGAGAAGAAUAUGGAACCAAGUAAUAACCAAUCCUAAAAUUUUGAUGAAGGAUUCACUGGAAUACAUCCAAGAUGAUAAAGUUCUUAAAAGGCAAGUUUCUUUAACAAUUUCACAUCAAAGAUCUAAAUCUUUGAGAAAAGCUCCUUUUCAAAGGAUUGUUUUUGCUCUACAAAUAUUUUAUUCAUAAAAAUGGUGACAACCCUUCUUAUCCAUUGCCUCAUGAAAGCUUUAGAAAUUAUGUCUUAUAUUAUAACAAUCCAUUGCAAAGAAACUCACAAAGAAUUAUGUGAAUGUUAAUUUAAAUAGAUUUUUUCUCAAUAAAAAUAAAGCAAGAAGAAUAUCUUUUACUAAGGUUGAAUGAUGAUGAAGAUAUGGAUGAAGGAGUAGAGGUUUGUGUCUAUUAUAAUAAUAAUAAUAAUAAUAAUAAUAAUAAUAAUAAUAAUAAUAAUAAUAAUAGGAAAUAUUUAUACUCUAACUUUCAAGAAUUGGGAAAAAAAUAUUAUAUCUUGAGUGAUAAGGGGAAAACUUUCUUCGAAUAAUCAUAAAUGACAUAGUAAUGAUACCAUUAUGAAUGUUUGUCAUCCAAAAAAUAACAAGUUAUGUGUUGUUCUUGAAUUUGAAAAGAUUAAAAGGUGAAAAGGACCUAUAAUGGUUGACUCAAUGGAAGAGUUUCAAACUAUAUUAAUUAGUGUCAUUAGUCUUUUAUUUCAGAUCUAAAAAGAAAGAAUAAAGUUAAAAAGCAUUUCAAACACUAGUAAUCGGAAACACCAAAAAGGGACUACAGAGACUUGAAGGCACCUUCUUCAUAUUUUCUUUUUAUUCAAUUUUCUUCUUUAAUUCUUUGUUCUAGCUGAUGAAUCAGUGAGGCGUGAGAGAGGACCUCAUGUUAUACAGAUCUUGUACUACAGAUCAUACCAUAUGAAAAUCAGUAAGGAUUGUCAAACUUAGUGUUAAAAUAGACUUUACAGAAAAACUUGAAUAUCAUCACAGAUUCAGAACUUCUUGAGAAAAAUUUAGACACGUGAAGUAAACUUACUUCCACAAGCAAUAUGAACCAUGGAGCCAUUGUUAGAAAAUGGUGAUUGACACAAACAAUUGGUUGCUGCCUUCUUCCCCAAACAUCAAAUAUAAGUCAUGCAGAAUAAGAAAGUGGAGCUAGAGGAAAGUGAAGAAUAAGGCAAAUGAUCGGGGUGGACUUUUAAGCUUUUUGGUAAUCUAAAUGAAUUCAUAGAUUGGGGAGGCCAGAUAACAUGCACUUAAGAAUAUACACGGAAAUUGGAUUAGUGAACUACCACCAAGUCCUUGGCUCAAUUAAUAUACCUGAGAUCGGUUGGAUUAAAGGCAGAGACAAUAGCUAAUGGGAUAUGAGCAAUUUUUGACCAUUCUUCACCAUGUCCUCUAGCACAUCUUCCUUCUAGCAUUGAGCAAUUAUAUAUGCAGAGUCGUUGUAAAGAUACAAGAUUCCGAAUUCCAUCAGGUAUUGAUUUCAAACAAUAGCAAUUACUGAUUUCAAGACUCAAGAGUGAUGAGAGAUUCCCUAUCCAGUCUGGUAAACUGUUGCCACAAUAUCCAUCUAUUACUAGUCUUUUUAUUGAAUGAUGUGGCUGCAGGCCUUUCAAUAUCUUUUCGUCUUUUAUUUUAUUUUCAUCGUCCACCCAUCUGUUUUCUUCUUCCUUACGUCUAUUUUUAACAGGAUCCUUCCGAUAUUUAGUCUCACGGAACCCCCACCGUAAUUCCAAAUCUUGAAGAUGUUGCUUCUCCAGUAAUAUGUUUGCAGACUCAACCACUGCAGCAUUUUCUCGCAGGGAAUCCAAGCAUUUAAUUACUAAUUUUCCUCUAAGGUUGUUUAGCCCACUCAAUUCACUUAUAUCAACGUUUUUACUUUCAGAGUCCAAUAUAAAAUGUGUCAGUGUUUGAAGAUUGGUCAAUUGUCCCAACCCACAUGGCAUACAUCUCAAUUCCCCACAAUCAUUCAAUUCAAGAUGCCUAAGACUUUUGUUGAUAUCUGAGGGUAAUUCUUUAAAUUUGCCACACCGAGAUAGUUUUAAAGUCUGCAAGUUAUGUAGGCUAGUAACAUCUGGUGGAAGACUUACCAGAAACCUAUUAAAUGAAAGAUCAAGAUAUCUCAAUUGCUUCAACUUUCGAAUACUAUCUGGAAUUGUUAUCAAAUGCAACCCACAGAGUGUUAACACCCGUAGGCACUUUAUGCUUAAGAGAAAAGGAAAAUGAAGACUUGGCGGAGGACCCAAAUUUUGUCUUCCAUAAAGUGGCUCUGGCUGUCCAAGCAAAAUAAAUGUCCUUAACUUGUUGGAAGAUGAUGAUGUUUUCUCUGAAAAAUGUAAUGAAGUACAAGAGGACAAAUAACGUGUUCUGUUUUCAAUGUGCUCUUUUUUUCCUUCAACAAAGGCGUAUUCUUUUCCAACAACAAGCUGUGCUAGAUCAUGUAUCAGGUCAUGCAUUUUACAAGUAAGAAUGUCACCACAAUCAUCUAAAGUCACAUUUUGGAAAAGUGACAUUGACAGCAAAUUCAUGAAGUACUCAUGACCAACAUCUUCUUCACAUCUAUUGUCUCGUGAUGGUUGAAUGAACCCCUCAGCCACCCAUAACUGAAUGAGUGUUUUCUUGUCAAACUCAAAAUCUUUUGGAAACAAUGAACAAUAAGCAAAACACUUUUUCAAAAAUGAAGGAAGAUGAUCAUAACUCAGUUUAAGGAUUGAAAAAAUGUUGUCCUUGUGUUGAUCUAUCUUUGAAAACUCAACUUCACUAAAAUAUUGCCAAUCACUCCGACCCAAGUUUCGAGAGUACAAGAGGCUGCCAAUAGUUCUUAUGGCAAGGGGAACCCCAGCACAUUUUUUAACAAUAUCCCUUCCCAUGGCUAACAAUUCCAUAUCAUUUGGUUCUUUCCCCCCAUCAAAAGCCACUCGAGAGAAUAGCUUCCAAGAUCUUUCUAAAUCAAGACCUUUCAAGAAAAGGGGUGGAUGUGUGGCUACUAUUUUCGCCACAGUCCUACUACGUGCUGUUACAAUUAUGGCACUUCCUUUACCUCCUUCCACGACUAAGCUCUUGAAUUUAAGCCACAGUUCCCUAUCCUCAUUCCACACGUCAUCCAGCACAAGUAGAAACUUUUUUCCACGAACUUUGUUUCUAAGAUCUUGCUGUAGUUGCUCAAUCUCACUAUUCUUAUCAUUCCCAAUCAUCUUUUCGGCUAUUUUGCUGAUGUCAAAUUCAUCUGAGACACACACCCACAUUUUCUGCUCAAAAGAGCAUUGGACAGCAUUGUCAUUAAAAACAAGUUGAGCGAGGGUAGUCUUACCUAGUCCUCCAAACCCAACUAUGGCUAAUACAGACACAUUGUCUAUCACACUCACUUUGGUGUCAAGCAAAUAACUUUCAAGAAGUUUCUUUUCCUCCUUUCUCCCAAUAACAUCAUCUUCUCUCACAAAAGAAUAAGUUUGUCUCUGCCUCCUAUAUGCAAUUGGAGUCUCCAUAGGGCGGUCAGUCAAUUGCAAAGUAAUCUUGUUUUUAGCAAUAGCAUCUAGCCUCUUCUGGAUUGCUUUCAUUUGAUGACCUAAUUUAAAACUAUAGACAAUUUGGUUUUCUUGGGAGAAGAAAACCUGUAUCUUUCUCAAGAUUUUUCUAGCACCAAUCACUUUUCUUUUCAUUGCUUCAGAGGAGAUAUCAUUGAGCAAGUCAUCUGCAUCAUAAAGUACAUCUUUCAGCUCCUCCAACCAAUUACUGAUUUGAAGGUUGUUGGCCUUUCCCUCUGCAUCCAGGAGCACAGCCUUUAUUGCAGAUACUGUGCGCUUCAUUUGCUGUACGUCAUCUUUGAGAUUCCAAAUGAUUCCAAACUCCUCUUGAGCAAAAGAGUUCAAGUUUUGUAAUACUAUCUGAGCAAUUACUUCCAUCCUUUGCCAGAUGAAGUUUGGUACAAACAUUAGUAACAACAAUGUUAGGGAUCAAACAAUUUCACAGCCAAAUGUAGUUUUGUACAGCAUUAGAUAUCAAAUAAUUUCACAUCCAUAACAACAAAUGAAUCCUUUAAAAAAUAAAGUGUGGCCAGCUACAUGGGUGACAGCCACCAUAAUGUUCUGUUAUAAAUCAUAUCAUUUUGAUUGUGAGCAAUAUCCUCACAGUGGGUGUUACCUCUCCUGAAAAAUUCUUCUCCAUACACACAAUCAGGGAAUCAAACCCUUUAAUUUGCUUAAAGAACUCAGUUAUCUACGAUUUGUGUUGAUAUGUUAUAAAUCAGAUUUGAGGAGAAAUCAUUGACCUUGGAAGUCAAAUAGUCUUGUUGCAUAUAACAAGAAAGGAGCAGACAAAAUUCCAGUUAAGAUGAUAAAAAAAAUCAACGAGUUCUACUAACGUUUUCAAAACAUAUUGAUUAACUGAAUAGGACGCGAUUACAGAAACCAGAAUUAAAAUAAAAAAGUAAAAAUGAUGGGUGUCUAUAUAUGUUGGAAUUGAGAGAGAAAAUUCCAGAGUAAUGAUAUUAGUUGCAUGGUUUAUGAUGAAAUUAAGUGGUGCUAUCUACAAUAGAACAUCUUAUUGGUUGAAUACCUAAGAAAGUUAGAAUUAGAGAGACAGGGAGAGAUAGCUGACCUGCUUUGGAAAAAGGAGUGUAAAUGCAGGGGCAACAGUUGUGGGCAAGUGUUGAAUAUCAAGAGAUAUGAGGAGCCACCCAUAUAAGGGAAAUAAAAAUAAUAUAAUAUUAUUUUCACAAGUAACAAAUUUUUAUACAUACUUUAAAUUCAUUCUGUACCUUUUAACUAGCAUGGUUUAAACUAACACGUAAUCUGUGCAUAUGUUUAGAGGAAUGAAUACUUUAAUAAAAAUUAUGUAAUUAAAUAAAAGUUUACCAUACUGUUUUAUUAUAUAUUGGUUUUUUUUCAAGAUUGAACUUUAUAAAUAUUUUGUUAACUUUGAAACAAUGUAAUGUUUUAAAAAUUAAAGAUGAGAUAAACUAUUACUGAAAUUUAAAUACAAAAAAUUAGUUUAAUAUUUUAAAUAUCAUAUCUUAUUAUAUUUUAUAUAUAUAUAUAUAUUGCAAAGUAAAAUAAAUACAUAAUUCAAGCGCACAAUAUUUAUUUUAUAUUUAAGUUGGAAAAUAUCUCAGGAAAAAAUUUAUUAGGAAUGAAUCCAACUUUAUUUGUGUCAAUAUAUUGUGAUUGUAAAUUAAUAAUUGCUAUACCUAAACAUAAAAACUACGAUUAAAAGAACAAACAUAUAUAAUUAAACAUAAUUUGGUGAAACAACUAUUAAAGAAUGAGAUAUUUUUCAUUCACUGUCUGAAGUUAGAAUGUGAAAUCUAGCACAUCCUUUAACGAAAUCCUUGUGAAGAAAUAUGGUUUUAGAAUCAUUUAGGAGAAUAAGACUUAAACCCUUUGCAAGUAAACAAAUGAUAGUAACUCAACUUUUAUGAUUGAAGAUCCAUGAAUAAGGUUUAUAUAGGUAAAAAUAAAUCACUUGUUGGUUCAUAUAACACUAAAUUGAUUUUAAAUCAAUUAUGUACAUUCAUAUGGUGUGUGUCAAUGUGUUAGAUACUACAUUAUUGAAAGGUUAGACUUUGUAAUUAAAAUCCUAGUGUAAGAAUUUUAGUCUAACAAAGUUUUUAAUGUUUUUCAUAUCUUUUAUGGGUGGGUUGUAUGAUUUGCAACAUACGCUUGAUUAAAUUACCUACAUGAGUGUCGAGUGUGGUGACUUGCAUGAGAUCUUGGAAUAAUUUUUAGAACACUUGUAAAUACUAGACACACGCAUCGCCUAUUAAGCACAAUACAACAAUAUAACAACAAAAAUUAUGAUGAUGUAUUGUGAUUGAUAAACCGCUAAGACAUAUUAUUGUUCUUGGUUUAUAUAACUUAUUAUGUCAACUACAAUAUAUGUUAAGUUUCUCAAUAAGAGUACAUAUUCUAUAAAGGUUUGCUUUUAUAAAAAAAGAGAAAGAGAGAGAGAAAAUAUUACAUAUAGAGAGAUUUUUUAUAUUUUUUAUUAUGAUAAAAAAAAUGGGAGAAAAUUUUUAAAUCUUAAAUGUCUUAAGAAAUUGUUUAAUGCUUUCCUCUUUUGUAGUACGUGUUUUUGUAGGUUUAUUACAAAUACUUUAAAAAAAUUGAAUACCAUAAAAAAAAAGGAGAAAUUGUUGACUAAAGAAAAAGAUGUUGGAAGUUUUUUAGUUUAUUUGUAUGGAAGUUUUUUAGUUUAUUUGUAUGAUGAUACUAAGUAAAAAGAUGAAAUAGAAGUUAAUGAUUAUUUGGAAGGCUUGUAUUUUGUUUGUUGUAAUGUUUUGAUUUGUAAUGUCUUUAUAAUAUUCUUGUAAUACUUGUUAAAGUAUUUUAGCUCAAGUCUAGAGAGUCAUAAAGUAACAACAUUUUGAAACACUAAGGAAAAACAAUUUUUUAAAUAUACACGAUGAUAAUCGAUUAUCACCUAUGACAAUUAACUAUUGCAUAAAGAAAUUAUUUUCGAAAAAUAGUUUUCGAUUAUAACUUAACUUUACAUAUUGUUAACCUAAUUCCAAAAUUUGGCUUUAUAAACGAAGUAAGGAAUUCUCUUUCAAAAAUAUAAGAGUUGGGUUAUAAUUUUAUGUGAAAAACUUUGAAAGCCUUUUGUGGAUAGAACAAUAACUUUAAUCAAGUGUGAUCUUGAGUGACUGAGUACAAAUGUUCUUGUUAAGUGAAACUAUUUAUCCUUUGUGUGACUCAAAUAAAGUGUUUAUACCUUGUGGAUUUUAUUCUUUCGUCUUUUGUAUAACUCAAGAGGAGUGUUUAAUUUUUUGUAAUAUUAAAAAAAAUGUUUAUUUUCUUAUGGUUUAAAUAAAAGUGUUCUUAAUAUCUUGGGAUUCUUCGGGCAAAGCAUGUAUUCUUUUUUAAACUAUUCAUUCUAUUAUUGUUUGUUAUUUUAGUUUAUUUUUAAUUGUUAGUUAAUUAUUAUUAAGAGUGGUUAAGAAUGACUUCUUUCCAUUCCAUUAUAAAAUUGUACAGUAUUAUACUAUUAACUUUUGCUUUUUUAUGUUUAUUUUUGUUAAAAUAGGGUAUUAUUAUUAAUCCGACAGCUUUUAUUUGUUGUCUGUAAUUUUGUUUUUUUAAAUACAGUUAACUUCUAUUACCAAUAAUACCUGCAAGGAUAUUUUUAAUUUAAUACUAAAGAAAUUAUAGAAUACUAUAAUUAAGAUUAGUAGUAUUAACAAAGUAGGGGUUACUGAUAAUAAAAUUUGACAGUAUUAACUUUGAUAGAUAUAGCAAGUUAAUUAAUUAGAGUGUUCUUACAGUGGAAUGGUGGUUAUACUCGUAAAGCAUAAUUUUGAAAACUUGAUGUUGAAGAUGGUGUCUGAUAGAAAAUGAAAGAAAGAAGAAAAAGCAAAGAAUGAUGAAAGCAUAAAAGAGAUUUUAUAUAUGAAGUGAGAGUACAAAAGCAUCAUAGACAUUCUGGUUACAGAUUCAUGGAAAGAGAGAGAGAAGAUGAUUAUUGAUGGAGGCACUACAAAGAUGAAAGUCUUUUAUUUAGGAGAUAGAUAAUAUGCUACGUUGCAUGGUUUAGAAGUGACCAUUUUCUUCAACGGGUGGGUGCUUACCAUAAGGGGGCUUAUGGUAUGGCUUUGGUUUGGGUUUAGGCUCGUAAAUUGGUGGUCUUGGCUUGUGGAUGGGUGGCUUAUACUUACGGGGUGGUUUGUAGAAGCUGUCAGACUCAGAUUCAGCAGCAAGCCCUUGAGGGGUCAGAAUCAGAGCCAAAAGGAACAACACAACCAAAGUUAAGAGAGAAUUAGCCAUCUUCAUUCUGUUAUUGCUUCUGCAUCUUACUCACUCAUUCAUCUCCUUUUAUAGUCAGCCUUCACGCACGUCUCAAUCCAAUUCAUUUAUCGUUCCCUCUGUCACUGUAUCAAAUGUCAAACAUUUGGUGUGCAUUUUUCUAUGCCCACUGGUCCCAUUUUGUAUCUCUCCCACUUAAUAAUACCCUCUGUGUUUAUCUCUCCCACUUACUUUUUCUUUAUUAUCAUACCAUUCUCCAAACUUUAUCGUUAAUUCUCAUCUGAAUUCGACCACUGUCGGAUACAACAAAACAAAAACACUUUCUACUACUCAUCUAGUAUACUCUCUAAUAAUUACAGAACCAUCUCGGAUCCGGUUCCCGGAUUGUUGCCGACAACACUAUUCGGCCCUAUGACACAUUUAAUUUAUUGAAUUCGUGACAAAAAUUAUCUCUGUAAUAAAAUUUAAUAUAAAUUUUUUAAUAACGUGUAUAAAUAAAUAGGAAAUGUUUUUUAAUAAUUUUUUUACAAUAUUAUUUGUGAUUGAUUUAUUUUAAAUAUUUUUUUUUAAAAUAAAUUUAUAUAGAUCAAUAAAACAAUAAAAUGUGACUGUUGUCAAAAAAAUUAUUAUGGAAAAGUUGUUAAUAGUCUAAAUAAAUAAUACAAAUGACAUAUUAUUAUUUGUUUGGACCAAUUUUUGUGAUUGUGACUUUUGUUUUAAUAGUAAAAUUAUUUUUUUGGUUUAUUCUUAAUUGAUCAAUCCAUUUUAUUUUGAAUAGGAAUAAUAGUUAACCUUCGUGAUUGUUUACAACACAUUUUAUUACAUACUGAUACAGUUGUUAUCAUGUGAUAUUGAUUCACACGGAUGAAUAUUUAUAUGAAGACGAUUAUUUGAUAAUGUAUUUUUAUUCUAAUUAUUUUAAUUUAAUUAUUUUUUAUUUUUCUGAAGUUCUAACUCAUAUCAUUAUAACUUUUUCUUAUUUUAUUAUCUUUGUCCUGUAUUCAAUUAAUUAAAUAAAAACAAAAAACAAAUAUCAUUAAACAUAAUAAAAUAAAAAUAAAUAAAAAAUCACUUUACUUAAAACAAAAUUAAAACUAUUUGGGUCCAAAAAAAAUAUUUUGAAUUGAAAUUUUCAUAAACAUGAUGACUUCACUUAAAAAAAAUGUUGAAAUUGUAGCAUUUCAUAAGACUUCAACUAUAAGAAAACCUUCAUAAGUAUAAUAACUUCACUUUAAGAAACUAAAAAAAAGAAUAGAAGUCGUUAUAGUCGUACCAUCUAAUAUGACUUUAACCCAUAUGUACGACUUAUCUUAUUGUGUAAAAUUUUAAAAAUCUAACUUCUUUACAUAAAUACAAAAGUUGAUUAAUUCCUUUUGGUUAAUUAACCUGUUUACAAAUACUUCACUACAAUAUUGGUAUGUUGAUAUCAAAUUCAGUCAUGGAAUAGUUUAAAUAGAGACGUAGUUUAAAUAGUUUUUUUUUCUACUAUAAUUUAUCCAUAUAUUGUAUAAAGACAUGACAAUUAUUGAGAAAAUGAAAAAGUUCAUUGUCUAAGAAAGAUAAAGAAAAUGAGCUAUAUGAUUAAGAUAUUAUAAAGGAUGGAUAAUAUUUUAUGUAAUAUUUAUUACUACACAAAAAAAAAAAAACAUUAGAAUUAAUGAAUGGCUAUAGUUGAAAGAAAUAAAAGAAAGUAGUAAUAGUAGUGGAGGAAGAAAAAGAACAUAAAAAUCCAUUAUAAUGGCUAGUUUUAUUAGUGUCUCCUGUAUAAGAAAUGAAAAAGUGGAUCUAAAACAAGAGAGAUAAGACACAACACUUUGAUAAAGCGACAAGAAGCCUAUCUUGUUUAAAUCUCAUUUUGUUCUCCAAACAUCUUAUUUGUUAUAAAAACUCUCAUUUAGUAUAUAUCUAAUGAGUGAUUAUAUGCUAGUGAGCUUUCUUUUUGUAACUUGUCUUUGAGACCUAAAAACCUAAACUUAGAAGUAAGUUUAAAUAUCUAUUUUUGAGUUUUACACUACAAAAACUACAGUAAUUAACGUCCACAAAAACCCCACGAAGAAAACAAAAGAAUAUGAAUCACAUAAUCGAACAAAAAAAAAAUAAGAAAAUUUUAUCUUAGAAGUCCCACGUUAACUUGAUUAAUGAUCAAUUUAUAAUAUAUAAAUGGAUAUAAAUCUCAUCGUACAAAUAGUUUUUUAGAAUUGAGUUAGAUUUAAAAUCUGAUUUUGAGUACUGACAAAGAUAAACACAAUAUACAAAUUCACAAAAUGGAUAAUGAUAUUUAGACAACAUUUUUUUGAUAACAUUUAAACAUCACCUACGUGUCAUUUUGUUAUUGGUCCAGUGGUGUUUAGAUAGAUAAUCCUGAACACGCAACCUCCAGUCAUGUUUUUUCCUUUUUACAUGUGUUCUUUUUUCCUUUUAUAAAGGGGUUCACCUCUUUGGCCAGUGUAACUUUUCAAUACAUUAUUUCUCUCCCCUUUCUUGUUUGUCUUCCUUUAGCUAUGCAAGACAUGUUCUUUUUUGCUUUUCUUUUUAGCCUAAUGGUUCACACUGUUCUUGUGUCAGUCUAUUAUGCACAACUUUAAAUAUAAAAUUUAUAUUUUGAAUUAUUUUAGAUUAUAAAAUAAAAAUAUAUAUUUUAACUUACAAAAUCCAAAAUAAAAAUUUUAUAUUCUAAAAUAUAUUAUUCAAAUUGUAUAUUUUAAAACUCAAAAUAAACAUAUGUAUUGUUCUUACGAAUCAUGUAUUCUUGGAUUGAGAAAACCUGAAACGUGUGAUGUUAUGUUAUGGGAGAGCAUGAGUACCAAAGGAGGAGUUUGUGGUUGAGAGAAUAAUGAGAGAAAAUUUAGUGUUUUCUUUUUUUUCUCUUAAUCUAAUCUAAUAACUAUAGAAAAUUCACUAUUUUAGUAACCUCAAUUUUACAUGCAUUCUAUUUCUUCUACUUAGACCCUAUUAAACUCCUCAUCCAACAUAUUAAUUUCAUCUAUACCAUAAAAAGGUAAUUAAUUAAAACACAAAAAUAACAUAAAUAGUCACAUGCAAAAUUUAAAAUUAAAUCAAUAUUAUGAAUUUUCUAAGACUUAAACACUAAAAUUGAUAAAAAAAAAUAAAAUAAAAAACAAAAAUCAAAAUUGUGACUUAAAAAAAUGAAAUAGUAAAAUAAGUAUUAAUAUAUUUUAUUUUUAAUAAGUUAAAAAAAUAUAAUAUUAAUAACAACUUUAAAUUUAUUAAUUUUAUUGAUUACUAUGGUUAAACACAAGUAAAUUUUUUAAUAUAUAUCAUAUAAAAAAUAUUUAAUAAUUUUUUAUAAUUAAUUACAUAUUAAAAGUAAUUUUUCAUAAUAAUUUGUAAGAAAACAAACACGUAUUUAAUUAUUUUAAUAAUUAAUAUAAUAAAAAAGACUAAAAAUUUUAUACUGAAAUUAUAAUUUUUUUAAUUAUACUAAAAGAGUAUAUAUCAACAUUUAUUAUAUUAAAAUAAUUAUUUAUCCUAAAAUACACAAACUAAAUUAUUGAACUGAAUUAUAUAAAAUUAAUAAAAGAGAAAAUAAAAAUAAAAAACGUGUAAAGAAGGGACAAAAUUAAAUGUGAACACAUAUUUGUAAUUAAUAUAUUUUCGGCUGAUUGAAAAGGUGUUGAUCAGUAUACGACGAAAGUGUCUUUGUCUGCUUGAUGCCAUUUCCAUCACAGUAGAAGUAGCCGACUGCAACUCAUCCUCCAUUACUGUAUAAUUGUUUCAACUUUUCAAGACUGAUUCAUGUGCUUUCACAUUUAUGAUCAAUGUUUUUGGACAGAAACAUGUUGGCUAUAUUAUUCAUUGUUUGGUUAAAUUUCGAUAAGGUUUGAAAUUUCAACGGAUAGGUAGGGAAUAUGAAAUUUGCUACUCUCAAAUUAAAGACUAUAGUACCAUUCUUAUUGUGAGUCGUUGAAAAACUUUAGUAAUUUCGUUAUCAAACUUUUUUCUUUUGCUAGUAAUUUUAUUAAGUUAUGUCAUCUUCUCUUGUUUUAUGUGCUACCACCACCAUUUGUUCUUGUUUUUACUAAUGUAUAAUUAGAACAAAGAAUAAGCUAAUGCAUUUAAAGUAAAAAAAAAAAAAAAAAAAAACAAAAUUAUUAUCAAUUUAUAUUUGAGAAAAACAUAAUUCUCGGUUUAAUUUUCAUUUUUUUCAUCUAUUUUAAAUACUUAUUCACUAAACAUACUAAGUAAAAACCAUUCUAACUAUUCAAACAGUUCAUAUUUAUCAAAAUCAACUAUCCAACAUACAUUAGUGCACAUAACUUUAUUUGCACAAAAAUAGUUCACCUUUAUCAAAAUCAAUUAUCCAACUUUAGCCCACACCACACAUAUAGAUCCAAAUGGCUCAGACAAAUAAAUACAUCUAGACGCUGCUUCUAAAAGACUGGUUUAUCGAAUAGACUGAUGAAUAAAUACAUCCUAUCAUACUUACUACUAAUUUCUUCUCAUUAUAACCAUAUUAGAAACCAAUAUUGUUCAUCAAGUCAUAACAUGAUUAACUUCACUAGUUCCCUGAUUCUCUUUCAUAUCAUAUAGUCUAAAGUGAAGCUUCCUUUGACUCUCACCACGUGGAUAUUUUUCACUAUGUAAGUUGGAUACUAGUAGAGUCGGGAUAAUCUCAUUGACGAAAUCCCUUUCAAUACACUUUGACACACUAAAUAGUAGCAUUUUCAAUUGAAAAUAGGUAUUAGGACUCAAACUGCACAUUAUCAAACCAAACCAAGUUCAAAAAAAUCUACCUUUAUAUAACAUUCAACAUAACUUCCACCCAACACAACAUCCCCACCGCUCACACUCCAAAAUGUAUCAUUUUUCACCCAACGCUUGAAAGCUACCACCUAGCGUCCACACUGCUGCAACUAUGAUGCUCAACGGUGUUCAAGGCCUAACCUAGCGGUAACAAGUCAAUAGUUGGUAUCUUAAGAAAUUUACACUAACACCCAACAAUACCCACACAAACAAAACUGAAACACGUCUAAAAUGCUUUAAAUGUUAAUAUACCAAAGAUAACAUACCCACUUUUAUCAAUAUGAUUCACUUCAUGUUCACAAACUACAUCAAUUCAUUGCUUUCAUCUACUUUAAGUUACCAUCUAUCAAUUAUACAUCAUUACAGACAUAAAUACCCAUAUUGUUGUUCAAGAUAUGAAACCUCAUUCAAAAGAUUUCAAUUCUAUAACACAUCUCUUAUGAAUCUAACCAACUUUCACCCAAAACCCAACAACUAAAAUUGGGAAAAUUGAAUAAGAUAAAAGAUCCUUACACUUACAAAUUUCACAAAGGUACAUGAUACUUUUAUAAUCGGUGCAACAUAAUAAUUCAAGACAUACAUGCACACUAAAACACUAAUUACCAAUAUGAUAUAUAUUCUAAAGUUAUUUAAAGUUUCAAACACAUUAAAAGGAUUCUAAACCUAGUGCAAAAAUCACAUACAAAUUUACUUACAUCAAAUAUACUAAUUUCUCAAUAAUUGAUAGAGACAAAGGUCCAACCAAAACUCAACCCUUCUCAAUACCAUUCUAUUAUAUAUUGCCACAGUACUCAAAACAACCAAAAACCAAAUUUCUCUUCUUCCUUCAAUAGUUUCACAAGUUCGACAUUUAGAUUUUCUUUAUUAAGCCAACAUCAAAAACAAUUUUGCACGUCUGCUACAUUAAUCACAAAUAUAGUCCAAUCUAAAUUUCUCAAUCAAAUUUUGUGCAUCGUAGAUUUCCAUGCAUAUAAUUAUGAAUACAAAUUAAAAAUAAACUAAAUGAUUAGUUUUCCUUACCUUAAAGAAAAUUCUUAGUGCUACUUUUCUCCUACACAACUUCAAAAUGUAUAAUUGCUCUAUCUAUAUAUACAACCGAAAAAGAGCCUCAUGGAAGAGAUAAAACAUAUUACUUUAACGAAAAAGAGACAAAAAUUGAAAUUACUCAAAAGAUGAAAUUGAUCGAUACAAAAUGUUCCUUAGCUCCUCAAUUUCAACAUGAUGCAUUUUGAUUUUGAAAAAUAUGAGAAAUUAAAGGUGAAAUUUGAGAGAGAAGGGAGAAAAAUGGUUGAAAGAAAAGAAAAAAUUUUAUAGUGUGUGUGGGGUUUACAAUAUGUAUGAGUAACUUCUCCAAGCCCUUCUAUAAGGGCUAUUUUAUAAUAUAGCAGUUGCUUCCAACAUUUCCUAAAAUUAUAGUUAUUAGUUGUGUUCAAUAUAGUAAAAAGUAUGUGAAGUACACAGGAACACACUAGAGAGAAGGGAGGUGAAGAGUGUUUUCAAAACAUUUUCACAAAGUAGCAUCUAAAUAACUUGUAAUGAGAAUAUAUAAAGGUGUACUAUGCUUUGACGCUGGUUUUAUGGGAUAGGUAAAUAAGAAUAGGUUCAGACGAUGGCAUUUCAAAAGAAUUUGUAAAAGCUUUAAGGGGAAAAACAAUAAAGUGCAAUUUUUAUACUAGUUCACUCAAUCUGAGCUAUGUCUAGUUCUCUUUUAAAAAUUCUUAGGGGUUUCAAUAAUCUUAUCAAAGAUUGCACAAGUUUAACCCACUCUUGGUUGCAAGUAUUCUUACACCACUCCUGGUCUCCUAGUCAACACAACUAGUCCGAGUUUAGUCUCUCUAAGAUAUAACCCUAUACAACACGUCUAGACUGAGUUUACCGACUCCUGGUUGUAAGUAUUCUUACACCACUUUUGGUCCCCUAUUUAACACGAUUAAUCCAAGUUUGACUUCUCUAAAAUCUAACACUAGACAACUGUCUAAACGAGUUUACUCACUCUUGGUUGCAAGUAUUAUUUUUCACUCCUAACACCCGAGUAUUUUAACCAUUCCUAGUUUACAAGUGUAUGAAUACAAAAUGGAAAUAACUCUUUUAGAAAGGAUGUUUAAUGAGAACAAAAUAUUCCGAAGUUCUUGUAAUUGCUCUCUCUCUAAUCAAAUGACAUAGGCUUAGAGCAAGACGCAUUUCUGUUGUUGACUCUCCAGUUUUCUCUCCUCUUGAUUUUUUUUUUUGCAUUAGACGCUAUGAGCACGAAGACAAACAUCAGAGUAGAUUUUCAAUAAGGUUUUCUUUUCUUUUCUUCUCUUCUCUUUUCUUUUUUGAAAGCUUUGAAAACUUUCAUGAUGGAAAACUUAGAGUUCUAUAAAAUUUAAGAAAUAAGAAAGAAAUUGAAAUCAUAGAAAGAUCCACAACAUUUCGCAAAAUUUUUGACAAGUGCUCAAUACUUCAAUUAUAACUAAUCUACUUUUGUAUUUAUGUAAAAAAAAUUGAAUUUUUAAAAUUUUACAUAAUAGGAUGAAGUCAUACAUGGGUUAAAGUCAUUUUAGAUAGUAUGACUGCAACUGAAUCAAAUUUCUCUUAUUUGAAGUUGUACGAGGUUACAUGACUUCUAUUUUUUAUUUUUUUAUUUUCUUAACGUGAAGUUAUUAUAGGUUUAUUUAAAAACAUUAUUUUAAUAUUAUAGUUGAAGUCAUAUGAAACGGUAUAACUUCAACAUUUUUUCUAAGUGAAGUCAUCAUGUUUAUGAAAACCUCAAUUCAAAAUAUUUUUUUUGGUACCGAAGUAGUUUUAAUUUUGUUUGAAGUAAAGUGAUUUUUUUAUUUUUUAUUUUAUUAUGUUUGAUGAUAUUUUAUUUUGUUUUUAUUUAAUUAAUUUAAUAUAGUAGUAUACUAUAUGAGUAGUAGGGUAGUAGAAAGUGUUUUUGUUUUGUUGUAUCCGACAGUGGUCGAAUUCAGAUUAGAAUUAACGAUAAAGUUUGGAGAAUGGUGUAAUAGUAUAGAAAAAAGUAAGUGGGAGAGAUAAACACAGAGGCUAUUAUUAAGUGGGAGAGAUACAAAAUGGGACCAGUGGGCAUAGAAAAAUGCACACCAAAUGUUUGACAUUUGACAGAGUGACAGAGGGAACGAUAAAUGAAUAGGAUUGAGACGUGCGUGAAGGCUGACUAUAAAAGGAGAUGAAUGAGUGAGUAAGAUGCAGAAGCAAUAACAGAAUGAAGAUGGCUAAUUCUCUCUUAACUUUGGUUGUGUUGCUCCUUUUGGCUCUGAUUCUGACCCCUCAAGGGCUUGCUGCUGAAUCUGAGUCUGACAGCUUCUACAAACCACCCCAUAAGUAUAAGCCACCCAUCCACAAGCCAAGACCACCAAUUUACAAGCCUAAACACAAACCAAAGCCAUACCACAAGCCCCCUUAUGGUAAGCACCCACCCGUUGAAGAAAAUGGUCACUUCUAAACCAUGCAACGUAUCAAGUUAUCUAUCUCCUAAAUAAAAACACUUUCAUCUUUGUAGUGCCUCCAUCAAUAAUCAUUUCAAUCAUCUUCUCUCUCUCUUUCCAUGAAUCUGUAACCAGAAUAUCUAUCAUGCUUUUGUACUCUCACUUCAUAUAUAAAAUGUCUUUUAUGCUUUCCUCGUUCUUUGCUUUUUCUUCUUUCUUUCAUUUUCUAUCAGACACCAUCUUCAACGUCAAGUUUGAAAAAUUAUGCUUUACGAGUAUAACCACCAUUCCACU
RNAcentral lists this long non-coding RNA (17875 nucleotides) under Vigna radiata. Its description in RNAcentral is "long non-coding RNA (VRAD_LNC003976)". The record is from RNAcentral. Lineage: Eukaryota; Viridiplantae; Streptophyta; Magnoliopsida; Fabales; Fabaceae.